This 655-nucleotide long non-coding RNA is filed under the name Brassica napus (rape). Its description in RNAcentral is "long non-coding RNA (BNAP_LNC007769)". The record is from RNAcentral. Lineage: Eukaryota; Viridiplantae; Streptophyta; Magnoliopsida; Brassicales; Brassicaceae.
UUUUAGGAAAAUUAUCAUUUUUGUAGAGAAAUAUUGUAGAUUUGAGAUUGUAAUUUAGAAAGUAGGAUAACAAGAAUUUUUGUUGAUAGAUAGACAUUCUUUUAGAAUAUUUGAUCAAUAGGUUCUUUUUUAAAAUUAGUUUUCUAAAAACUGCUAUUUUAGGAAAGUUAUCAUUUUUGUAGAGAAAUAUUGUAGAUUUGAAACUCUUGUUUAGAAAUUAGGAUAACAAGAGUUUUUGUUGAUCGGUGGGCAUUUUUUUUAGAAUGUUUGAUCAGUAGGUUUAAUUUUAAAUUAAUUUUUGAAAAAUUGUUUUUUUGGGAAAAUCAUCAAUUCUGUAUAGAAAUAUUGUAGAUUUGAAAUUGUGAUUAAGCAAUUGAGAGAACAAGAGUUUUUGUUGUAGAUGGGCAUUUGAUAAGAAUUUUUGAAUACUAUUUUGUAUUUUUCAUAUAAAUAUUUCCGAAACAGCUAUUUUAAGAAAGUUAUCAUUUUGUACAUAAAUAUAGUCGAUUUGGGAUUGCGAUUGAGAAAUUAGAAUAACAAGAGUUUUUGUUGAUAGAUAGACAUUCUUUUAGAAUGUUUGAGCCCUAUAUUGCAUUUUUAAAGAAAUUUUGUAAAAACUGCUAUUUUCGGAAACUUAUCAUUUUUGUAGAGAAAU